AACAGCUCAUGCAUUCGGAGGUAAUGCUACAACCAAAUUUGAUUUUGAUACACCCCCUCACAGAAUUUCUCCUGAAACAAACACCUUCAGCUUAAUCCACUCUUCUCUUUCCCUACUUGUUUACCAUCAUUGUCAUUCCCCUAAGGUCUUGAAACCUUGGAGAAGUAGCAUGUGUAAAAAAGAAGAUUUCUCAGCCUUGAAGAGGUGGCGGAUGGCUUUCAAUGUCAUAUACUUCACAAGGGUUCUAAUUUCCUUGUCCAAGAAAGUUCUUGCGAAGAAUGGCCCUCCCUUGCCCACACUCUCUCACAUUACCAUUGACGCGCAGCCCGUUGAUAAUGGUUCCUCACAUGACAAAUCUGUUUGCUUUCACGAAAUUGAAACCAAAAAGCUCAAUGACAUGGUGAGGAACAAGAACUUUGAGGCCUUCAUUCGUUUUGGAGGAGUAAAAGCACUGGCUGUGGUUCUUGGAAGUGACAUAAAGAAUGGAAUAAGUGGUAGUGAGGCUGAUCUUACUCACAGAAAGAAGGUUUUUGGUGCCAAUAAGUACCAAAAGCCACCUGCUAAAGGCUUUCUCAGUUAUGUCUUUGAAGCAAGCAAGGACACUACUAUUAUUGUACUUUUGGCAUGUGCUAUACUAUCUCUGGCCUUUGGUAUCAAACAACAUGGUUGCAAAGAUGGGUGGUAUGAUGGUGGAAGCAUUCUUGUUGCUGUCAUUCUGGUUGUGGCUGUUUCUGCUGUUACCAACUUCAAGCAAUCCAGGCAGUUCGAAAAGCUCUCCGCAAAGGGUAGCGACAUCAAGGUGGAAGUAGUGAGGGAUGGGCGGCGCCAACUAAUAUCAAUAUUUGAAGUUGUGGUUGGUGAUAUUGUACAUUUGAGGACUGGUGAUCAAGUACCAGCAGAUGGUUUGUUCUUAGAAGGGCACUCAUUGAAAGUGGAUGAAUCUAGCAUGACCGGAGAAAGUGACCAUGUAGAAAUUGAUGAAAGGAAUCCAUUUUUGUUAUCAGGCACAAAGGUGAUGGACGGAUUUGGUUUCAUGCUUGUCACUUCUGUAGGUAUGAACACCAUGUGGGGUGAGAUGAUGAGCUUAAUUAUAUGUGACAUGGAUGAGCAGACCCCAUUGCAAGCACGGCUCAGCAAGCUGACUUCCUUUAUUGGAAAAGCUGGAUUAGCAGUGGCUGUAGUUGUUCUUCUUGUUCUCCUUAUUCGUUACUUCACAGGGAACACCAAAGAUGACUUGGGAAACAAGGAAUUUAAGGGAAGCAGGAUAAAGUUUGGUGACAUGAUGAAUUCAAUUGUGGGUAUUGUUGCUGCAGCAGUCACAAUUUUCGUGGUGGCAAUUCCGGAAGGUCUGCCUCUGGCUGUUACUCUGACUUUGGCUUAUUCUAUGAGUUGUAUGAUGGCAGACCAUGCCUUGGUUCGGAAACUUUCUGCUUGUGAGACAAUGGGCUCGGCCACAACAAUUUGCACAGACAAAACAGGUACCCUUACUUUAAAUGAGAUGAAGGUAACACAAUUCUGGCUUGGUAAAGAAUCAAUGAAUGAAGGUACUUCCUCAGAAAUAGCACUAAAUGUUCUUGAUGUAUUUCAACAAGCAGUUGGUUUAAACACGACAGGUACUAUUUUCAAAUCAGAUUCUGCAACAUUUGUAGAGAUUUCUGGGAGCCCUACUGAGAAAGCAAUACUUUCUUGGGCUACCUUUUAUUUGGGUAUGAAUAUUGAUGAAAUCAAACAGACUUCUGAGAUAAUCCAUUUCGAGCCCUUCAAUUCAGUGAAAAAGAGAAGUGGGGUUUUGGUGAAGAGGAGGAAGAGAGAUAAGGCUGUGUGCUCCCAUUGGAAGGGAGCGGCUGAGAUGAUACUCGCCAUGUGUUCAAAUUAUUAUGACAAGCUAGGGAUGUUGAAAGCCAUGGAUGAGGAAGAAAGACUGCAGUUUGGUACUAUUAUAAAGAAUAUGGCUGAAAAAAGCCUGCGAUGCAUUGCAUUUGCCUACAAAGAAGUUGCAGAAGAAAGUGGACAGAUUCUUGAGAAGCUCGAAGAAACUGGAUUAACAUUUUUAGGCAUAGUUGGUUUGAAAGACCCAUGUCGGCCAGGAGUUCGGACAGCUGUAGAAUCUUGCAAAGCUGCUGGAGUAAACAUCAAAAUGAUCACAGGUGACAAUGUGCACACAGCAAGAGCUAUAGCUUUCGAGUGUGGGAUUCUCAGUCCUGACAAGGAAUUGGACAAUGAAGCUAUAGUAGAAGGGGAAAUUUUCAGAAAUUACUCACUUGAAGAGAGAAUUGAAAAGAUUGAUAAAAUCAAUGUAAUGGCAAGAUCAUCCCCAUUUGACAAGCUUUUGAUGGUACAGACCUUGAAGAAGAAAGGCCACAUUGUAGCAGUCACAGGUGACGGCACAAAUGAUGCACCUGCUCUGAGAGAAGCAAAUAUUGGGCUGUCCAUGGGGAUCCAAGGCACUGAAGUGGCAAAGGAGAGCUCAGAUAUUGUCAUUUUGGAUGAUAACUUCGCUACUGUGGUGACAGUUUUGAGGUGGGGAAGGUGUGUAUAUAACAACAUUUAAAAGUUCAUUCAAUUUCAGCUCACUAUCAAUGUUGCUGCCCUUGUCAUCAACUUUGUUGCAGCUGUUUCUUCUGGUAAAGUCCCACUAACUACAGUCCAAUUAUUAUGGGUGAACCUAAUAAUGGAUACAAUGGGAGCUUUAGCCUUGGCCACUGAAAAACCCACCAAUGACAUCAUAGCAAAGCCACCUGUGAGUCAAUCUGAGCCAUUUAUAACCAGAGUCAUGUGGAGGAACCUCCUUUCUCAGGCUUUGUAUCAGGUAAUAGUCUUGUUGGUUAUACAAUUUAAGGGAAGAUACAUCUUUGGUGUGGAUGAGAAAGUGAAGAAAACAUUGAUUUUCAAUACUUUUGUCUUCUGUCAAGUAUUCAAUGAAUUUAAUGCUAGGGAACUAGAAAAGAAGAACAUAUUUAAGGGGCUAUUCAAGAACAGGCUGUUUUUAAUGAUCAUUGGGUGUACCAUAGUUAUUCAACUAGUGAUGGUGGAGUUUCUAAAGAAGUUUGCUAGUACUGAGAGGUUGGAUUGGGGGCAAUGGUGUGCCUGCAUUGGAAUUGCAGCUUUGUCUUGGCCGAUUGGUUGGCUCUUCAAGUGCAUUCCUGUUUCUGGCAAGCAGUUGGCUAAGCAAAGAUGAUCUACUUCUUGAAAGACAAGCAAAUAUAUAUAUAUAUAUAUAGCAGUGCAAUAAAAAUGUAUUUUGAGUUUUAGCCAAUAAUUCCAAAUAUCACUUGUAAUUUAAGUAUUUUUAUUUUAGACAAAGUGAAGAUGAAAUAUAGUGCAAAGUAAUGUAAAAUAGAUGGUAUAAGCCUUCUGGAAGCAACAAGACUACUGAAAAGCACGGCUCAAGAAUAAGGGGUGCUAGUAACACUCAUCAAGACGACAAUGUCAGAAUUGCAUGAAAUUUGGACCACCGAAGGGAAUGGUCUUCUGAUCAAGACUUGUGACUAUAUCACGAGGUUCACCCUAAUCUUAUCGAUUCCUUUAUUAAGGCCCCAAAACAGUAAUUUUUCCAUUUUUAAUAAUAUAUAUUUUCUUUAAUAGCUUUUAAGUUUAAAAGUUAAAAUAAAAUCCUAUCUGUUUUUAGACGUCUCUUAGAUUA
RNA transcript from Quercus lobata, 3643 nucleotides. It is a transcript of the gene named putative calcium-transporting ATPase 13, plasma membrane-type, with no coding region annotated. NCBI's taxonomy places the organism in Eukaryota, Viridiplantae, Streptophyta, Magnoliopsida, Fagales, Fagaceae. The record is from RefSeq and is a predicted model, not a curated record. The transcript has a single exon.